UCUUUAUCCACGCUUUUCUCUGUAUCUGGUCGCCGGUGUUUGUGUGAAGGUGAAUACCAUAUGAUGUUAUUCUGAUGGUUCAUUUCCGAUUCACACCUCCAGAUGUGGAGUUCUUCAUUGCCUCGUAUCUCCAUCUUCAGCAAUUUGGAACUCUAUCUGUGUUGAAACCACAGUCCGAGCUCAUCUUGUUGGUUGGACCUCCAUAGCUUCUGUUUUAUGAGACGGAGUGGGAUUCGUUGGCAACCUUGGGUUGACAUUUUUCCAAAAAAUGCAACUCCUCUCGCCAUUUCAGGUUAUGCAUUUAAUUUCUAUUUUAGGAUGUUUCAAAUGUUUGGCACACUUGUAUGAAUCUUCACACUUUAUGAACCAAAUGAAGGAAAAGUUGAUUGGAGCAGCUAUUUGAAGAUCAACACAGUUGGGUUUACAUAAAUAGCGGAGAACACACAAUCAUAUAUUUUAUCUUAACCUUUCUUUCUUUAUAAAUUUGGACCAUUUUUUAAGCAUGCAUUAAUAAUGCUACACUCCUUUUGCACAUAUAUAAGGCUAGCAUAUCAGAAGAGAAAAUGUCAAA
Long non-coding RNA from Lycium barbarum (goji berry), 571 nucleotides. RefSeq lists it as uncharacterized. Lineage: Eukaryota; Viridiplantae; Streptophyta; Magnoliopsida; Solanales; Solanaceae. The record is from RefSeq and is a predicted model, not a curated record. The transcript has 3 exons.